CGGGAAACCGGGGCUAAACCGGAUGAGCUCCUUCGCAUGGGGGUGGUUGGAAAGUUUUUCGGUCAGGGAUGGGCUCGCGGCCUAUCAGCUUGUUGGUGGGGUGAUGGCCUACCAAGGCGACGACGGGUAGCCGGCCUGAGAGGGCGACCGGCCACACUGGGACUGAGACACGGCCCAGACUCCUACGGGAGGCAGCAGUGGGGAAUAUUGCACAAUGGGCGAAAGCCUGAUGCAGCGACGCCGCGUGAGGGAUGAAGGCCUUCGGGUUGUAAACCUCUUUCAGCAGGGAAGAAGCGCAAGUGACGGUACCUGCAGAAGAAGCGCCGGCUAACUACGUGCCAGCAGCCGCGGUAAUACGUAGGGCGCCAGCGUUGUCCGGAAUUAUUGGGCGUAAAGAGCUCGUAGGCGGUUUGUCGCGUCUGGUGUGAAAACUCGAGGCUCAACCUCGAGCUUGCAUCGGGUACGGGCAGACUAGAGUGCGGUAGGGGAGACUGGAAUUCCUGGUGUAGCGGUGGAAUGCGCAGAUAUCAGGAGGAACACCGAUGGCGAAGGCAGGUCUCUGGGCCGCAACUGACGCUGAGGAGCGAAAGCAUGGGGAGCGAACAGGAUUAGAUACCCUGGUAGUCCAUGCCGUAAACGUUGGGCACUAGGUGUGGGGCUCAUUCCACGAGUUCCGUGCCGCAGCAAACGCAUUAAGUGCCCCGCCUGGGGAGUACGGCCGCAAGGCUAAAACUCAAAGGAAUUGACGGGGGCCCGCACAAGCGGCGGAGCAUGCGGAUUAAUUCGAUGCAACGCGAAGAACCUUACCAAGGCUUGACAUGCACGGGAAGCCACCAGAGAUGGUGGUCUCUUUGGACACUCGUGCACAGGUGGUGCAUGGUUGUCGUCAGCUCGUGUCGUGAGAUGUUGGGUUAAGUCCCGCAACGAGCGCAACCCUCGUCCCAUGUUGCCAGCGGGUUAUGCCGGGGACUCAUGGGAGACUGCCGGGGUCAACUCGGAGGAAGGUGGGGAUGACGUCAAAUCAUCAUGCCCCUUAUGUCUUGGGCUUCACGCAUGCUACAAUGGCCGGUACAAAGGGCUGCGAUACCGUAAGGUGGAGCGAAUCCCAAAAAGCCGGUCUCAGUUCGGAUUGGGGUCUGCAACUCGACCCCAUGAAGUCGGAGUCGCUAGUAAUCGCAGAUCAGCAACGCUGCGGUGAAUACGUUCCCGGGCCUUGUACACACCGCCCGCCAAGUCACGAA
Molecule: ribosomal RNA, 1241 nt
Filed under: Cellulosimicrobium cellulans
Lineage: Bacteria; Bacillati; Actinomycetota; Actinomycetes; Micrococcales; Promicromonosporaceae
Description: bacterial SSU rRNA
Rfam family: Bacterial small subunit ribosomal RNA
Source: RNAcentral